ACGGUCCUAAGGUAGCGAAAUUCCUUGUCGGGUAAGUUCCGACCCGCACGAAAGGUGUAACGAUUUGGGCACUGUCUCAACGAGGGACCCGGUGAAAUUGAAAUACCUGUGAAGAUGCAGGUUACCCGCGACUGGACAGAAAGACCCCAUGGAGCUUUACUGUAACCUGACAUUGGGUUUUGAUACAUCACGUACAGGAUAGGUGGGAGGCAUGGAAGCUGGGACGCUAGUCUCAGUGGAGCCGACGUUGGGAUACCACCCUUGAUGUAUCGGAAUUCUAACCGUAGUAGUAACGACACUCGGGACAGUGUCAGGCGGGCAGUUUGACUGGGGCGGUCGCCUCCCAAAGAGUAACGGAGGCGCCCAAAGGUUCCCUCAGCGCGGCCGGAAAUCGCGCGAAGAGUGUAAAGGCAGAAGGGAGCUUGACUGAGAGCCAAACACGGCGAUCAGGUACGAAAGUAGGGCUUAGUGAUCCGGUGGCAUCCAAGUGGAAGGGCCAUCGCUCAACGGAUAAAAGCUACCCUGGGGAUAACAGGCUAAUCUCUCCCAAGAGUCCAUAUCGACGGGGAGGUUUGGCACCUCGAUGUCGGCUCAUCACAUCCUGGGGCUGAAGUCGGUCCCAAGGGUUGGGCUGUUCGCCCAUUAAAGUGGUACGUGAGCUGGGUUCAGAACGUCGUGAGACAGUUCGGUCCCUAUCCAUCGCGGGCGUAAGAGAUUUGAAGGGGGCUGCUCCUAGUACGAGAGGACCGGAGUGGACGGACCAAUGGUGUACCAAUUAUCCCGCCAGGGGUACAGUUGGGUAGCUACGUCCGGAAAGGAUAAACGCUGAAAGCAUCUAAGCGUGAAACCAGCCUUAAGAUGAGAUCUCUCAUAGAGUAAUCUAGUAAGACACCUUAAAGAAGAUGAGGUUGAUAGGUCGGGAGUGUAAGUACAGUAAUGUAUUCAGCGGACCGAUACUAAUAUGUCGAGGGCUUGACUUA
Molecule: ribosomal RNA, 980 nt
Filed under: human gut metagenome
Description: bacterial LSU rRNA
Rfam family: Bacterial large subunit ribosomal RNA
Source: RNAcentral